CCUUCGGGUCGUAAAGCUCUUUAGGUUGGGAAGAAGGUUGUGGGGGGAAAUACCUGCAAUUUGACUGUACCGACAGAAUAAGCACCGGCAAACUCUGUGC
This 100-nucleotide ribosomal RNA is filed under the name uncultured bacterium. Its description in RNAcentral is "partial 16S ribosomal RNA". The record is from RNAcentral.